CAUAUGGAGAGUUUGAUCCUGGCUCAGAACGAACGCUGGCGGCGUGGAUUAGGCAUGCAAGUCGAACGAGAAUCUGAGAGUUCAAGUUUUCGGACAAGAACUUUUGGAGGAAAGUGGCGGAAGGGUGAGUACAACAUGGAUAAUCUACCUUCAAGUUGGGUAUAGCUUCCCGAAAGGGGAGAUAAUCCCGAAUGUGGUGAUCCGGCGCAUGCCGGAGAAUCCAAAGGCGGGGACCGCAAGGCCUG
This 245-nucleotide ribosomal RNA is filed under the name Kiritimatiellia bacterium. RNAcentral's name for it is "Kiritimatiellae bacterium (wastewater metagenome) partial 16S ribosomal RNA". It matches the Rfam family "Bacterial small subunit ribosomal RNA", at positions 1 to 217 of the family's 1533-position model. Lineage: Bacteria; Pseudomonadati; Kiritimatiellota; Kiritimatiellia. The record is from RNAcentral.